CCGCCCGCCUCGGCCUCCCAAUAUAUUUUUAACUUCAUUCAUUGAACCCUUCAGUCCCAGUAUUUCUGUUUGGUUCUUUCUUUAUGAUAUCUAUCUCUGUUGAAUUUCUUACUCAGAUCAUAAGUUGUUUUUCUGAUUUCUCUGUAUUAUUAUUUAUUUCUAGUUUUAUUCCAUUGUAGUCUGAAAAGGUACUUGAUAUUAUCUUAAUUUUAAAAUUUGUUGAGAUUUAUUUUGUGGCCAAACAUAUGGCCUAUCCUGGAGAAUGUUUCAUGUGCUGACAAGAAAAUGUAUUCUGCAGUUUUUGUUCUAUGUUCUCUUGUAUCGCACUGAACUUGUUUAAUAACAUUAUUUAAAAUUCUUUUUUGGGCAUUUCAUGUAUUGCUUUUUCAUUCAAACCUGUUCCUAGAGAAUUACUGUGUUCCUUCAGAGGCAUUCUGUUUCCUUGCUUUUUCAUGUUUCUUAUAUCCUUACACUCAUAUUUGUGCAUCUGGUGUAACUGUCUCUUCUUUCAAUUUUAUGGAUUGGCUUUCAUAGGAAAAGACUUUUCCUGAUAGAUGUAUCUAUUGUAUUGGUUGGGUAGGAUGCUUUGGCUUUUAUUUUGGGUGGGGGCAGUAGUUUAGUUUCCAUAUUUCUUCAGCUAUAAUCAGUGUCAGUGGUAUCUGUGAGUUCCUCAGUGGAUUGGCUGUGGUUGUUUGGGGAGGCUGUGGCGAGGCUUUGCUGGGGAUGGGGAUGCCAGGUGGGGCAGUCUUUGGGCCCCAGUGGUGGUAGUUGUGGGUCAAGCCUGCUGAUCUUCCUCUCCCACCCCCGCUCCCCAGCAGUGUGCAUGACCUGCUCAGUGGGUGGAGUGGAUUGAUCACCAGGCCCCAAUGUACAUGGCAACUGGCAGGGAUGACACUGGGCAGUAUAGACCUAUCCUCAGCUCUCUCAAGGGUACACACAGGCACAGGCUGUGGUGGGUUGAACAGGUUGAUCCCCAGGCCCUCAGAUGGUAUGUCUGGGUACCAGCAGCAGUGGCAGAGUAGGGGGCAGGCCUGUCAUCAGAACCCACGAUGGUGUGUGCAGGCACUAGAAGUGGAAGGUGGGAUAGGCUGAUCCCAUGGUCACCUUAACAACAUGCAUUAGUGUGGGCAGAGGUGGUGGGCAGGUGGCCUACCUGAUGGUGCAUGCACUUGCCAGCUGUGGUGGGCAGGGCAGGUUGAUCCUCAGGUCCCCUUUAUGGCAUGCUUGGGUGCCGGUGGUGGUGAUAGGUGCAGCAGACCUGUUUUCAGUUUCCAGGAUGGUGCCUGGCAAACCAGUUUCCAGGUCCCUUGAAGGUAUCUGCAGGUGCACAGUGGCCCUGCUGCUGGAAGUUGGGGGAUGGGGUUGCUGUCAAUGGCGUGGCCCAACCCAGGCAGCUCUCAGGCUUUGGGGAGCAUGAAUUCCAGUUCCCUUUGUUCUGGUGACUGCCUCCCCAGUGCACAGUACCACUGAUUCCCUGCAGCAUAGAAUACUGUAUGAGUCAGAGUCCUGGGAAUCUGGCUAUACUGCUGGGUCCAGCCAGUGUUGUGAUGCUGCAGCCUUCUGGAUAGAUGUCAGUCAGGGGAUGUCAGAGGGAUGUGGAGAUACAGAGGCUGUUGAGUCCCGGGGAAGGAUGUAGUCUGGUGGAGGCUGGCCUCUCAAAAUAAUGCCAUGCUGCAGGUGUCUUGAUCUUGGGGUGUGUGGGGGACCCAGAGUGAAGUUCUUCUCUGGACUAAUGGCAUUGGAGGACUUGAGGAUGCUCCUUAGACUAGUCUCAGGGCCCACAAGGGCUGAGGGGCUCUCCUGUGGCUAGGACUGUAAGAGUCAGUGUGGCAAUGUAGACUGCUGAAGAUCUCUUGCUUACCUUCUCUCUGCACUGGGGGGUUUCUCCUGGCUCCGAGCUGAUUGCAGCUGGACCAGCUGCUUUGCUUCCCUCUCCUUCCAAGCCUCAGAUGUUCCCUGUCACUUCUCUGAUGAAUUCCAUUGUUCUCUUAGAAGCUCCACUUGUUAUGUGAUUGUUCAGUUUUGGUCCUUCUUUGUGCAGAAGUGCCAGGUGUCGCUAGUCAGCUAUCUUGAAACCCUUCUCUCUGGAUGUACAAAAUACUGUUUACACUUCGAGGUUUGUUCUGGGAUGCUCGCAGAUCUCAUCCCAUAUAAGUAGUGAGGGAAAAAAGAGGUGGUUGCCUAAGGUUUCUCCUUCUAUCUCUGAUUGGCUCAACAUCCACUGGGCAACACACAUCAACCUUUCAAGACAAGAACGGUAGGUGAUGUGUGGAGUGGUGAUGGUGUAUGUGAAAACCCUUGGCUUCCUUUACAUGAUCGUAGUCUGAAAGAUGGAGACUACAUGGAGAAUGUCUCAAGAAAAUUCCUCCUUUCACACUCCUCUGACGAUACCACAGACCGACUCCUCACAGAUGAGCAAAAGCUUGGGUGGGAGCUUAUUUCUUCUCCCACUGUGCUUCAACUUCUCAAGGAAUUGUAGAAUGAGAGAGAGCAGAGGAUUUUUAAUAUUUGCUGAUUAUCCACUAUGUGCAAGCUUCGUAUAAACAAUAGGUAGUAUAAUCUCCAUUUUAUAGUUGAGGAAACUGAGACUGGAGAUUAAAUCAUUUGCUGGAAGACACAAAGCCAGUAAUUAGUAGACUCAGGACUUGAGCAAGACUGUCCAUCUUCAGAGCCCACAGUCUUUCCAUGACACCAGCAAUGCACAGUUAGGUCCACAGGGACUCUCUCACAUCUACUCUGUGCUCUCAUUCUUGGCAUCCAAAGAAUGUUAGGCACUGAGAACCGCUAUGGACUGAAUGUCUGUGUCCCCCCAAAUGUCAUAUGUUGAAACUGAAUCCCCACUCCGAUGGUGUUUGAAGGUGGGCCCUUUGGGAAAUGAAGUCAUGAGGGGGAGGGAGCCCUCAUGAAAGGGAUUAGUGGCCCCAGAGAGAGAACCCCUCACCCUUUCUGCCAAGUGACUGUGCAGCAAGAAGACAGCCAUCUAUGAACCACGAAGCAGACACUCACCAGACACCGAACCUACUGCAUUCCUGACCUUAGACUUCCGAACAGCCUCCAGAACUCUAAGAAAUAAAUUUCCUUUGUUUAUAAACCACCCAGCCUAUGGUAUUUUGUUAUAGCAGCCUGAACACAUUGUGACAAGAAUUCAAGCUACUAAGGAUCACUUUAGCUGAGAAAUGCUUGGGCAAUUGGGUAGAAAGGCUGGCAUAGUGCAAGUCAGAAAACUUCAGAGUCAAAAUGGAGGGAGGGACUCCUCUCCCCUCCUACAGAGUGACAGAAAGGAGGGAAGAGUUCUGCUUUAUGACAAAGCAUUUUAAAUAGCACGCAGAUCCUCUAGAAAAGGAUGCAGAGCCACAAUGUGGGCAGAGGCUCGGGGACUGAGGGGGGAAACCAGAAGCUGAGUUUCUUUCCUCUAGUGCCAGAGAAAUUUUCCAAGGUGGGAUUGGGAUUGUGGUGAAUGACCUUGGAUUGAGAUCCAGGGGCUGUGGGAAAGCCAUAGGAGCCCCAGACUAUGAACAUCUUAUUUUUUUAAUUUAAUUUUUUAAAAAAGAGAUGGGAUGUCACUAUGUUGCCCAGGCUGGUCUCAAACUCUUGGGUUCAAGUGAUCCUCCUGCCUCAGCCUCCCAAAGUGCUGAGAUUACAAGUGUGAGCCACUGUGCCUGGCCCAACUAUGAACAUUUUAAUUGAUAAAUUAGAAAAUGUUCAAAACACUUAAAAUUGGGUAGUGAUGCCAACAGCCCACCUCACCCAUGCCAGGAGCCUUACCAUGUUAAGCAGUGGUCCCAGCCUUUUUGGCACCAGGGACUGGUUUUGUAGAAGACAAUUUUUCCACGGACCAGGGGGUGGUGGGGAUGAUUUCAGAAUGAAACUUCCACCUCAGAUCAUUAGGCAUUAGAUUCUCAUAAGGAGCAUACAACCUAGACCUCUCUCCUGCACAGUUCACAAUAGGGCUCACAUUCCUAUGGGAAUCUAAUGCCACUGCUGAUCAGACAGGAGACAGAGCUCAGGUGGUAACGCUUGCUUGCCACUCACCACCUGCUGUAUGACCCAGCUCCUAACAGGCCACAGAGCAGUACUGGUCUGCAGCCUGAGGGUUGAGAACCCCUGACGUAAAGCACCCCCUUUGUGAGAAAACAAGCUCUGGGCCUUUAAUUCCUGCAGCCAGCUGCUCUGUGCACAUGGGGUGAGGGGCAGGAGGGAGUCAGGCAGGAGACCUCUGGUCCCUGGCACAGCUAUUCUCGCAACAGCCAUUGGUCAAUCUCCCCGGUCCCUACCACAGCCCCUCUGCUCUCUGUACCUGCCGGCCUCAAUGCGGAGCCUCUCUGAGAAACAGCUCCUCCCUCGCCAGCCACCUUCUGUGUACAGUUCAACUUCUAUCUCCUCAGAUCUCCUUCCCCAUCAGUCAACCCACCUCCCUUCUCCUAUUUCAAAAAUUACUCAACAUUUCUGUUCUUGCACUUUUUUGGGCUGUUACAGAUUUUUUGAAGUUCAAUGACAUUUGGGAAGGACAGAUAAAAGUGAGCAUUCAAUUUGCAUCUCAAGUCAUGACAUUUGCCUUGUAAAUGACGUCUGCUUCCAUUUUACUGGAGGAAGCUGGCCAGGUGGGGUCUCCUUUCCCAUAGGUGGCUGUGAUGUCAGGUGAGCUGCUCAGCCUCUUCUGGCUUACUUUCCGUUCACAUGACGAGGGUCGUGAAUGAGAUUAGUAUCCAUCAAACCUGUUCCUGUAAUACACCCCUUCUAUCAGGUAAAACUGAUGGCAGGAUUCCAGUAUAUAAAACAAGCUAAACUGGUAUUUUCUUUUUCAGAAUACGUACUGAAGUGCUGAAGAGUAACUAAAACAUUUUUUAACAGGAGAAAAGGCCCUGGCUGGGGGCAGUGGCUCACGCCUGUAAUCCCAGAACUUUGGGAGGCCGAGGCGGGCGGAUCACGAGGUCAAGAGAUCAAGACCAUCCUGGCUAACGUAGUGAAACUCAUCUCUACUAAAAAUACAAAAAUUAGCUGAGUGUGGUGGCAUGUGCCUGUAGUCCCAGCUAGUCAGGAGGCUGAGGCAGGAGAAUCCCUUGAACCCGGGAGGAGGAGGUGGAAGUGAGCUGAGAUUGCACCACUGCACUCCAGCCUGGCGACAGAGCAAGACUUCGUCUCAGAAAAAAAAAAAAAAAAAGAAAAAAAAAGAAAGAAAGAAAGAAAAGAGAGGCCCUGAGGAGGAGAGGAGAACAUGAUGGGGCCUUUGGAGCCCACAGCUCCCUCUUCCCCUCUAAGUGGCCCAUGGUGGCAGUGCUGGCUGCCCCAAGAGGAGGUAGGCAAAUUGCAGAGGCACCAAGGAGCUUCCAAGGAAAGGCUGAGGCCUGGCCCUUCCCAGCGGAGGUGCAACGGUCUGGAAACUCAUGAGAUGGAUCAACAGUCAUGGUUACUGGUGGCAGACACACCUCGGAGGGACCUGAAGGUUUGUCUGGAUGAGCGACUGGAUUGCAACUAUGGGAUGGGCUAGAGGAUGGGCCCAGCAGGUGGCCCAGGAUGGAACCCCUCUGGAAGUGCCUGGGCGGGGCCGCGUCAGCUGCAGCUGCAGGUAAGCAUGCAUGGGACCCCACAGGAGUGGCUGUCAAUGACACCAAUGUGGAGAUAGGUCUUUGGCCUAAGGGAGGAGUGAAGCCCCAGGGUACCACGGGACAGGAGGGAAGAUAAUGUUUUCCUGCAAAAUGGGCAGGUCAGAUCUCAGUGUUCGAAGGAUUUGACUAGAACUGUGCUUAGGAUCAAUGAAAAGGGAGAGGCAGGUCACAGUAUUUGAGGAUAAACUAAUUUUUACCUUAUUCUGGGAUCAAAGUGACUAUCAAAGCUUUAAAAUACAGCAUAUAAAGUGUCAGAAAAGGUACACUAGUUUUUUCUUUUAAAGUACACUAGUUUUUAUAGUAUAAAUAGUUGUAGAAUCUAGGUAGUGGGUUUAUGAGUGUUCACGGUAAUUUUUUUUCAGCUUUUCUGUAUGCUUUAAAUUUUUCAGGACAAAAUGCCUAGAAGUGGUCAAAUAACAUUUUAUUUUGUAGUCGAGCAUUUGAGGAACCCUUGGACGAUUGUCGGGAAGCCUUCGGGUUAAUGAAGCAUGAAAACUAUUGGGCCUCUCCUGAGCCCUUUGAGCUCAAAAAUCUCUAACUUCCUAGGAGGCUCCUCAGGCUCAGCCCAGGCCUGAAGCUGAUGUAUUUGAGAAGCUGGUGUUUUAGAUGACUGUCAUCUAAAACCUCAAAGCCUCAAAAGCUGUUUACAUCAGUGGGGUUGCACCUGUACUCUGAGUUAGUUUUAUCACAAAAAUGGGUCAUUUGCAGCUGCCUUUUAAAGGUGAAAACAGAUGCAAAAUAUAUUAAAAAAAUCAAACAGACUUUCAAAAACCACACACAGUGCCAAGUAGUCAGUGGAUUUGUCGGCGCCCUGCCUGAGAACAGCACUUUGAUAAAAGGCCCAGCUGCAAGGGUGCAGAAUAACAGAGUUGGGAGCACUGCUGCCCUUUCUUUGUUCUGCCUUUCAGGGCAGCUGUCCUCAAAUAUGGGGUGGGCAGAAGUGGUGUGCUUACUGCCAGCACUGCCUGCUACAAGGAAAAGAACUGUAUGGCCUACUAAUUUGGGGGAGUGCUGGAUUAAACAGCAUUAAGAUGCUUCUCAGACUGUUCAAUAUACUUGUGUGCACUGCCCGUCUCCCAGGGAUGGACACAGUUGUGAUCCCCAAAUGCUCUACAGACUUUUAGGGGAGGGACCAUGCUCUAGGACCCAUGCUUUAAGAAGGCAAAAAUAAACCAAGCACUGUGGCUCAUGCCUGUAAUCCCACGGCUUUGGGAAGUGGGAGGAUCGCUUGAGCCUAGAGGUUUGAGGCUGCAGUGAGCUAUGAUUGAACCACUGCAUGCCAGGCUGGGUGACAGAACAAGACCCUGUCUCUAAAAAAACAAAAAGGAAGCAAAAUAGAAAAUGCUUCUUUGCAAACAUUAUGUCAAUUAGUGAUACAUCUAAAAUACAUCUUGAGAGGCUGGGGUAGGAGAAUUGCUUGAGGCCAAUGGUUUGAGACCAGCCUGGGAAACGCAGUGAGACCCCAUCUCUAAAACACAAAAUAAAAUAAAAAAUAAAUAAUUAAAAUGCAGUUUAACUGUAGCAGCUACACCCUUCAGCAGCAUCUGUGAGAGAAGUGUUAUUUCUGACCAAGCAGAGCUGUGUUUUAAGAUGAAGGCUCCCCGACCUGUGAAAAACAGCCCUAGCUCAAGGUUAACUUACAGUAUCAACAGUACAUUACUUCAGCGAUGCUUCUGUCUUCCUACCCACUGGGGACAAUUGUCUCCAUAGCUUGUAUCUUACAUUCUCAAAUAACAUCUAGUUUCUGGUUCCCCUGAGACCAGGUGCAUCCUCCACCCACCUCACCCCACUGAACCAAGGAUCUGCUGUACACCCUUCCUCAUUAGAAACUUCAUCUCCACCCUCUUUCCCACUCCCCCAACAAAACAAUCAAAGCACAUGCCCAAAUUUAUUUUUAUUUUGCACACAUAGGAAACAGGAUCCUAUCAAAAGAGAACAAAAAAGAGAAACGAGCCAAUUGUUGCAGAGGAAAAGCAUGCACAGAUCUGCUUCAAGUUUA
RNAcentral lists this long non-coding RNA (7605 nucleotides) under Homo sapiens (human). RNAcentral describes it as "HSALNT0123114". The record is from RNAcentral. Lineage: Eukaryota; Metazoa; Chordata; Mammalia; Primates; Hominidae.